AAACCAUGUUGUGGGCAUGAACUGCUAAGAUCAUUGAAUCGCUCCGAACAUUGAAAGAAUGUUUCAUCUUCCUUUUAGGCGAAGUUCAUGAUCGACUUUUUGAUGGU
Small nucleolar RNA from Magnolia sinica, 107 nucleotides. NCBI's taxonomy places the organism in Eukaryota, Viridiplantae, Streptophyta, Magnoliopsida, Magnoliales, Magnoliaceae. The record is from RefSeq and is a predicted model, not a curated record.